UACAGAGGUCUCAAGCGUUGUUCGGAUUCAUUGGGCGUAAAGGGUGCGUAGGCGGCGCGGUAAGUCGGGUGUGAAAUCUCGGAGCUUAACUCCGAAACUGCAUUCGAUACUGCCGUGCUUGAGGACUGGAGAGGAGACUGGAAUUUACGGUGUAGCGGUGAAAUGCGUAGAUAUCAAGAGGAAUACCUGAGGUGAAGACGGGUUGCUAGGCUGACACUGACGCUGAGUGCGCGAAAGCCAGGGGAGCAAACGGG
RNAcentral lists this ribosomal RNA (254 nucleotides) under uncultured bacterium. RNAcentral describes it as "partial 16S ribosomal RNA". It matches the Rfam family "Bacterial small subunit ribosomal RNA", at positions 524 to 776 of the family's 1533-position model. The record is from RNAcentral.